ACUCAAAUGAAUUGACGGGGACCUGCACAAGUGGUGGAGCGUGUGGUUUAAUUCGAUACUAAGCGAAGAACCUUACCCAGGCUUGACAUCCCGAGAAAGCUCUAGAAAUAGAGCCGUGCCGCAAGGAACUCGGUGACAGGUGUUGCAUGGUUGUCGUCAGCUCGUGCCGUGAGGUGUCCCGUUAAGUCGGUUAACGAGCGCAACCCGCAUCCUGUGUUGUAUUUUUCACAGGAAACUGCCUCAGUUAAUGGGGAGGAAGGUGCGGAUGAUGUCAAAUCAGCAUGGCCCUUACGCCUGGGGCUACACACGCGCUACAAUGGGUAGUAACAAUAGGUUGCCAAGCCGCAAGGCGGAGCUAAUCCUACCAAAUCUACCCUCAGUUCGGAUUGGAGGCUGCAACUCGCCUCCAUGAAGCCGGAAUCACUAGUAACGGCCGGUCAGCCACACGGCCGUGAAUACGUUCUCAGGUCUUGUACACACCGCCCGU
RNAcentral lists this ribosomal RNA (487 nucleotides) under uncultured bacterium. RNAcentral describes it as "partial 16S ribosomal RNA". It matches the Rfam family "Bacterial small subunit ribosomal RNA", at positions 899 to 1397 of the family's 1533-position model. The record is from RNAcentral.